Molecule: long non-coding RNA, 881 nt
Organism: Pseudoliparis swirei
Lineage: Eukaryota; Metazoa; Chordata; Actinopteri; Perciformes; Liparidae
Exons: 2
Source: RefSeq, a predicted model, not a curated record
GCCGCGGUAACGCCGCUUCAUUAAAACUACUCAAUGGAGUGCUGUCGUCGGGCAGAUUAAUAAUGGACGAGCCGACAGGUGACGGAUACCUUCUCGCCGACGGAAAGUUUCCGGCUCACCGAAGAAAGAAAGAAAAAAAAACCGGAGGAACCGGAAUGAGCAGCAUGAGAGUUUUUAAAUGAGAUCAUGAGGAGUUGAAGAAGACGUUUAAAACCCCGAAGAAGAGCCGAGAGGAAGAACAAAUCGACUGAAUCUACGAUCGCAUGAUGACACCGUGACAGCGCCUUCAGGAUUCUGCCCAGCAUCAUGGCUGAACAGCUGUUUUCACAAACAACAGGCAGGACCAGGACCAGGACCAGGACCCCAGAAGCCCAAACUGGGAGGGGAACAUGUCAACACCCAGCGGUCUGUCAGCCAGCAGACCCAAACCAGAGGUCCUCAUUGGUGGAUUUAACUAACAACACACACACUCGAUGCCGAAGUGUCUUCAACUAGUUAGUCUAUAAAAAUGACUCUACUCCUCUGGUUGUAUAGAAGUCUAUGCUUCAUGUGUUAAAGCUGCAUUCUCUCUCCUGACCAUCAGGGGUGACUCCUCUGGUUGUAUAGAAGUCUAUGCUUCAUGUGUUAAAGCUGCAUUCUCUCUACUGACCACCAGGGGGGACUCCUCUGGUUGUAUAGAAGUCUAUUUAGUAAAUGAUGUUCAUUUGGAGUCAUAAAGGAGGGGAUGCUUUGGGGGCGGGGCUUCAGGGUGAUAGACAGCAUACCUCCACCUGUGAUACAGUCUACAGUCGAUGGAUAGCUUCCAUGACAUCAUCUCUUGUGUUUAUAAAUUAUGACAAAUUAAUUGUAGAAUAACAUAAUUAAAAACUAUUUUGACAUUA